AAUACGUAGGUGGCAAGCGUUGUCCGGAUUUAUUGGGCGUAAAGCGAGCGCAGGCGGAAAAAUAAGUCUAAUGUGAAAGCCCUCGGCUUAACCGAGGAACUGCAUCGGAAACUGUUUUUCUUGAGUGCAGAAGAGGAGAGUGGAACUCCAUGUGUAGCGGUGGAAUGCGUAGAUAUAUGGAAGAACACCAGUGGCGAAGGCGGCUCUCUGGUCUGCAACUGACGCUGAGGCUCGAAAGCAUGGGUAGCGAACAGGAUUAGAUACCCUGGUAGUCCAUGCCGUAAACGAUGAGUGCUAAGUGUUGGGAGGUUUCCGCCUCUCAGUGCUGCAGCUAACGCAUUAAGCACUCCGCCUGGGGAGUACGACCGCAAGGUUGAAACUCAAAGGAAUUGACGGGGGCCCGCACAAGCGGUGGAGCAUGUGGUUUAAUUCGAAGCAACGCGAAGAACCUUACCAGGUCUUGACAUCUAGUGCAAUCUGUAGAGAUACGGAGUUCCCUUCGGGGACGCUAAGACAGGUGGUGCAUGGCUGUCGUCAGCUCGUGUCGUGAGAUGUUGGGUUAAGUCCCGCAACGAGCGCAACCCUUGUUAUUAGUUGCCAGCAUUAAGUUGGGCACUCUAAUGAGACUGCCGGUGACAAACCGGAGGAAGGUGGGGAUGACGUCAAGUCAUCAUGCCCCUUAUGACCUGGGCUACACACGUGCUACAAUGGGCAGUACAACGAGAAGCAAGCCUGCGAAGGCAAGCGAAUCUCUGAAAGCUGUUCUCAGUUCGGACUGCAGUCUGCAACUCGACUGCACGAAGCUGGAAUCGCUAGUAAUCGCGGA
RNAcentral lists this ribosomal RNA (826 nucleotides) under uncultured Bacillota bacterium. RNAcentral's name for it is "bacterial SSU rRNA". It matches the Rfam family "Bacterial small subunit ribosomal RNA", at positions 522 to 1348 of the family's 1533-position model. The record is from RNAcentral. Lineage: Bacteria; Bacillati; Bacillota.